Molecule: ribosomal RNA, 305 nt
Filed under: uncultured bacterium
Lineage: Bacteria
Description: bacterial SSU rRNA
Rfam family: Bacterial small subunit ribosomal RNA
Source: RNAcentral
UGUGCCUACGGGGGGCAGCAGUGGGGAAUAUUGCACAAUGGGGGAAACCCUGAUGCAGCGACGCCGCGUGGGUGACGAAGUAUUUCGGUAUGUAAAGCCCUAUCAGCAGGGAAGAAGAUGACAGUACCUGACUAAGAAGCCCCGGCUAACUACGUGCCAGCAGCCGCGGUAAUACGUAGGGGGCAAGCGUUAUCCGGAUUUACUGGGUGUAAAGGGGGCGCAGACGGCGAUGCAAGCCAGGAGUGAAAGCCCGGGGCCCAACCCCGGGACUGCUCUUGGAACUGCGUGGCUAGAGUGCAGGAGGG